UACGUAGGGGGCAAGCGUUGUCCGGAUUUAUUGGGCGUAAAGAGCGUGUAGGCGGUUUGGUAGGUCCGCUGUGAAAACUCGAGGCUCAACCUCGAGACGCCGGUGGAAACCAUCAGACUAGAGUCCGGAAGAGGAGAGUGGAAUUCCUGGUGUAGCGGUGAAAUGCGCAGAUAUCAGGAAGAACACCCGUGGCUAAGGCGGCUCUCUAGUACGGUACUGACGCUGAGACGCGAAAGCGUGGGGAGCGAACAGGG
Molecule: ribosomal RNA, 254 nt
Filed under: uncultured bacterium
Lineage: Bacteria
Description: partial 16S ribosomal RNA
Rfam family: Bacterial small subunit ribosomal RNA
Source: RNAcentral